GCCUGGCUGGCUCAGUCGGUGGACAUGUGACUCUUGAUCUCAGGGUUGUGGGUUCAAGCCCCACGUCGUGUG
Molecule: transfer RNA, 72 nt
Filed under: Felis catus (domestic cat)
Lineage: Eukaryota; Metazoa; Chordata; Mammalia; Carnivora; Felidae
Rfam family: tRNA
About the family: Transfer RNA (tRNA) molecules are approximately 80 nucleotides in length.
Source: Rfam by way of RNAcentral